GAUGAAGAACGUAGCGAAAUGCGAUAAGUAGUGUGAAUUGCAGAAUUCAGUGAAUCAUCGAAUCUUUGAACGCACAUUGCGCCCUCUGGUAUUCCGGAGGGCAUGCCUGUUCGAGCGUCAUUAUCACCCCUCAAGCCCGGCUUGUUGUUGGAUGCAGCGCUUAUCCCGCUCCUCCCAAAGAUAAUGACGGCGUCUGCGACGACUCCUGUACACUGAGCUUUCGGGCACGUACACGGCUAGAAGUCCAGACCCGGUCGCCGUCCCCCCCGCGGGGACACCCAUUACCACAAGGUUGACCUCGGAUCAGGUAGGAAUACCCGCUGAACUUAAGCAUAUCAAUAGCGGAGGA
This 349-nucleotide unclassified non-coding RNA is filed under the name soil metagenome. Its description in RNAcentral is "partial contains 5.8S ribosomal RNA, internal transcribed spacer 2, and large subunit ribosomal RNA". The stretch from base 1 to 120 matches the Rfam family "5.8S ribosomal RNA", at positions 35 to 154 of the family's 154-position model. The record is from RNAcentral.